UCCCCUAUAGCUCAAUUGGCAGAGCGUUCGACGUUAAUCGAAAGGUUCCUGGUUCAAGUCCAGGUGGGGAGCCA
Molecule: transfer RNA, 74 nt
Filed under: Arthrobacter alpinus
Lineage: Bacteria; Bacillati; Actinomycetota; Actinomycetes; Micrococcales; Micrococcaceae
Description: tRNA-OTHER
Rfam family: tRNA
About the family: Transfer RNA (tRNA) molecules are approximately 80 nucleotides in length.
Source: RNAcentral